This 573-nucleotide ribosomal RNA is filed under the name Rhodotorula mucilaginosa. RNAcentral describes it as "eukaryotic LSU rRNA". It matches the Rfam family "Eukaryotic large subunit ribosomal RNA", at positions 65 to 655 of the family's 3401-position model. The record is from RNAcentral. Lineage: Eukaryota; Fungi; Basidiomycota; Microbotryomycetes; Sporidiobolales; Sporidiobolaceae.
CCUACCGCAUUACCCUAGUAGCGGCGAGCGAGCGGGAAGAGCUCAAAUUUAUAAUCUGGCACCUUCGGUGUCCGAGUUGUAAUCUCUAGAAAUGUUUUCCGCGUUGGACCGCACACAAGUCUGUUGGAAUACAGCGGCAUAGUGGUGAGACCCCCGUAUAUGGUGCGGACGCCCAGCGCUUUGUGAUACAUUUUCGAAGAGUCGAGUUGUUUGGGAAUGCAGCUCAAAUUGGGUGGUAAAUUCCAUCUAAAGCUAAAUAUUGGCGAGAGACCGAUAGCGAACAAGUACCGUGAGGGAAAGAUGAAAAGCACUUUGGAAAGAGAGUUAACAGUACGUGAAAUUGUUGGAAGGGAAACGCUUGAAGUCAGACUUGCUUGCCGAGCAAUCGGUUUGCAGGCCAGCAUCAGUUUUCCGGGAUGGAUAAUGGUAGAGAGAAGGUAGCAGUUUCGGCUGUGUUAUAGCUCUCUGCUGGAUACAUCUUGGGGGACUGAGGAACGCAGUGUGCCUUUUGGCGGGGGUUUCGACCUCUUCACACUUAGGAUGCUGGUGGAAUGGCUUUAAACGACCCGUCUA